CCUGCCAGUAGUCAUACGCUCGUCUCAAAGAUUAAGCCAUGCAUGUGUAAGUAUAAAUAUUCUACUUUGAAACUGCGAAUGGCUCAUUAUAUCAGUUAUAGUUUAUUUGAUGAAAUGUACUACUUGGAUAACCGUAGUAAUUCUAGAGCUAAUACAUGAUCAAUUCCUCGACUUUGAAGAGGUGUAUUUAUUAGAAUGAAAACCAAUAGACUUUGUCUGUUUGUGAGUAAUAAUAACUUGUCAUAUCGCAUGCUUAGGUAGCGAUGUGUCUUUUAAGUUUCUGCCCUAUCAGCUUUCGAUGGUAGUGUAUUGGACUCCCAUGACAGUAACGGGUAACGAAGAAUUGGGGUUCGAUUUCGGAGAGGGAGCCUGAGAGACGGCUCCCACAUCCAAGGAAGGCAGCAGGCGCGUAAAUUACCCAAUCCUGACACAGGGAGGUAGUGACAAUAAAUCACAAUGCGGAACUUUUGUUUUGCAAUUGGAUUGAGAACAACGCACAACACUUAUCGAUAAACAAUUGGAGGGCAAGUCUGGUGCCAGCAGCCGCGGUAA
This 552-nucleotide ribosomal RNA is filed under the name Blastocystis sp. Its description in RNAcentral is "SSU rRNA". It matches the Rfam family "Eukaryotic small subunit ribosomal RNA", at positions 13 to 582 of the family's 1831-position model. The record is from RNAcentral. Lineage: Eukaryota; Bigyra; Opalinata; Blastocystidae.